GAUGAAGAACGUAGCGAAAUGCGAUAAGUAAUGUGAAUUGCAGAAUUCAGUGAAUCAUCGAAUCUUUGAACGCACAUUGCGCCCGCCAGUAUUCUGGCGGGCAUACCUGUUCGAGCGUCAUUUCAACCAUCAAGCCCCAGGCUUGUGUUGGAGCCCUGCGGCUGCCGCAGCCUCCCAAAACCAGUGGCGGGCUCGCUAUCACACCGAGUGCAGUAGUUUACUCUUCGCUCAGGGCGUGUGGCGGGUGCUAGCCGUGAAACCCCCAACUUCUCAAGGUUGACCUCGGAUCAGGUAGGAAUACCCGCUGAACUUAAGCAUAUCAAUAAGCGGAGGA
This 334-nucleotide unclassified non-coding RNA is filed under the name soil metagenome. RNAcentral describes it as "partial contains 5.8S ribosomal RNA, internal transcribed spacer 2, and large subunit ribosomal RNA". The stretch from base 1 to 120 matches the Rfam family "5.8S ribosomal RNA", at positions 35 to 154 of the family's 154-position model. The record is from RNAcentral.